GGUAUCCUGUCUGAAUAUGGGGGGACCAUCCUCCAAGGCUAAAUACUCCUGACUGACCGAUAGUGAACCAGUACCGUGAGGGAAAGGCGAAAAGAACCCCGGCGAGGGGAGUGAAAAAGAACCUGAAACCGUGUACGUACAAGCAGUGGGAGCACAGGUUUACCUGUGUGACUGCGUACCUUUUGUAUAAUGGGUCAGCGACUUAUAUUCUGUAGCAAGGUUAACCGUAUAGGGGAGCCGAAGGGAAACCGAGUCUUAACCGGGCGUUAAGUUGCAGGGUAUAGACCCGAAACCCGGUGAUCUAGCCAUGGGCAGGUUGAAGGUUGGGUAACACUAACUGGAGGACCGAACCGACUAAUGUUGAAAAAUUAGCGGAUGACCUGUGGCUGGGGGUGAAAGGCCAAUCAAACCGGGAGAUAGCUGGUUCUCCCCGAAAGCUAUUUAGGUAGCGCCUCGUGAAUUCAUCUCCGGGGGUAGAGCACUGUUUCGGCUAGGGGGCCAUCCCGGCUUACCAACCCGAUGCAAACUGCGAAUACCGGAGAAUGUUAUCACGGGAGACACACGGCGGGUGCUAACGUCCGUCGUGAAGAGGGAAACAACCCAGACCGCCAGCUAAGGUCCCAAAGUCAUGGUUAAGUGGGAAACGAUGUGGGAAGGCCCAGACAGCCAGGAUGUUGGCUUAGAAGCAGCCAUCAUUUAAAGAAAGCGUAAUAGCUCACUGGUCGAGUCGGCCUGCGCGGAAGAUGUAACGGGGCUAAACCAUGCACCGAAGCUGCGGCAGCGAACGUAUCACUUAAAGCGAUUCAGCGGGUUACGA
RNAcentral lists this ribosomal RNA (817 nucleotides) under Salmonella enterica. Its description in RNAcentral is "partial 23S ribosomal RNA". It matches the Rfam family "Bacterial large subunit ribosomal RNA", at positions 428 to 1224 of the family's 2925-position model. The record is from RNAcentral. Lineage: Bacteria; Pseudomonadati; Pseudomonadota; Gammaproteobacteria; Enterobacterales; Enterobacteriaceae.